Nanorana parkeri is the source of this 104-nucleotide long non-coding RNA. RefSeq lists it as uncharacterized. The record is from RefSeq and is a predicted model, not a curated record. The transcript is spliced from 3 exons. Lineage: Eukaryota; Metazoa; Chordata; Amphibia; Anura; Dicroglossidae.
CCAGCAGUGAUGCAGUUACUGAAGCUCCAGCACCAAAGAAAGAGGCUCCUCCUACCAACAUUGCAGUUACUAAAGCUCCAGCUCCAAAGAAAGAGGCCCCGGCC